GACUCGGCAGGCAGCGCGACCGCCAGGGCCGCCUCCACCGUCCCGCCCACCCCGCCUGCUGCCUCCCGGCGGAAAACUGGUCGUUCAGGUUUCCCGGGGAGAAGUACCCUGGCCGGACCGGAAGUCACCGUCACGGCCUAGUCGUAGCAGGUGACGGGUUCCGCCCGGGAACGGCCCAGGCGCCUCUCCUUGUCCCUGUGCUCCCUUUGGGCCUUUAUGCCAGGGUUUUAGGAGGGCCCCUCGCUCCGACGGGUUUUGUGCUGUCCCCGGCAUGGUAGUCAGUUAGUUAACCCUCAGAGCGGACCUGAUACUGAGGUGGGAAGCGGGGUUACCCGCGUGCCGUACCUCACCUCACGGGAGCGCAUUGAAGCCCAGUCCGUGUAAGAAGGGUUUUCGUCAACAUGGACACCAAGCAGAGUUCUACCUUUAGAAAACGAAAUGCACCUCAGCGUCCUCACGCACACAGCCGCUUUUCUGUCACAUCUCGUCUUUGAGAACGAAGGGGCCCAGGUUCGUCAUUUGGCUGGCAUUUGAGGUGGAGCACCUAGUGACGGAGGGUGUCAGGAAUCCAAGACCACGUGUCUUGAUCCUCCAGGUGGGAACCCUUUCCAUACCUUAUCACCGUCCGAGAUAAAAAGACCGGUAUCGUUCAGUGACAGGAUCGGAAUGGAACUUGUGACCUGCCUGGUUGGGGUUUGGUCUCUCGUCACCGUUGGCGUUGGCAUCUGCACAUCUCCAUCUUCCCUGGGACCCUGUCAGUCAGUAGGAAAACAGGCUGUGGAACACCUGGUACAAGAGGCCUGCCCUUAGGACUUAGCAGCUAUAAGGCCCUGUCGGAUGUCCCGACUCGCUUAGUCUGGAUUUUUAGUCUAACCAUAUGUCAUCUUUGGUCUUUGGUAGCUAAUUAGGGGAGCAACUGAACUAGGCUAAAUUACACAAAGGUGGCUUAUGAGUCAGCUGCAACAGCUGGUGAUUUGCAAAGAGUCCAUACCAUGAGAGUCACCUUCACAAGAUGUUUGAGGAAUGCUACCUGUGGAAUCAGACCACAAGGCCUGGUUGCAGUAUCGUCUUGGUUCCUUGAUAUACAUGAGAAGGGUCCAGCACCGUGCCUGUUUUCAAUGUGAGGGGGAAAAUUCCUUUCUAAAGUCUUUACCGGAGCAGAGACAAGCCCUGAGAUUCCAAAGAGGUUUUCCCCUGCCCAACCGACUCACCAAAAGAGAUGCGUGGCGUUUUCUUGGAUCCUUCAUCGUGGAUGCCACACGCUGUUUCUUUUCUGGAGUCGGUCCAGCAAGUGCUCGCAUCGGCAGGAACAAAAGUUAGUUUAGGUUCUUUUGCAUAAUCUAGAUGUCAACAUAGCCAACGAUCAGAUUGAUGAGCUAAUGUGGCCAGAGUUGGAAAACUGGUGUAAGGGGGUGUCGCGUGUAUGCUUGACCUGGUGAGAAAACAGUGAGAGUUCCUAAGAGUGAGACACAGUUUGAAAAAGGGCCCGUGGUGGGGGAUGAGAGGGAAAAUAGGAUAGAUUGGGACCAGCCAGCUCCAGUCAGCCUUUUCAUAAAUGGCUAAAGGAAGGGGAGGCUUUGUUAAAAAGCCUCUCUUUUUUAUUUCCCUUUGGGAGUAGGGAGACCCAGUAAGUGGAGAAAAUAGGUGGAAGCGAAAUUUCUUGAUCUGUGAUCUUGGGAAAAGCUGCCUGCUUCAUGCUUGUGUCUGUAUCUGGGGCCUAGGACUUGGCCAAGGAGACCCUUACUUUAAGGUCACCUCAGGGAUGGCCUUCCAGUUGUCCUAGUGUGCUGAUCUAACGUGACAUGGCUUGCAUGAAUCAGGAGUGUCUUUCCUUUAUUUUGAUAGCAGUGUAGGUGGUAAGCAUCUCGUAAGGGCCUUCCCAGCAAGGGGUGACAAUGUGUGCUUUCUUCUAAAAACCCUGAUGUGCAUCCAGUGUCCUGGUCAAAAGGGGUGAUGAAGCUCGCCAGUCAGUGGAGGUCACGCUCUUUUUACCUAUUGAUGAUAUCUUUCAAGGAUAUUAGUUACUUCUGUAUAUAGCUAGUUAUAGUAUCAAAUUGUUCACUCAAGUUCCUCUACUGUUUACUGAAUCCAGGAAUGGACUGUUUCGAGAUGCCAGGAGGCAUAGGGCAACCAGUCUUACAAAAGGGCUUCGUCCAUGUCUUCUAUUUGAAGUAUUCCAGAUUUUUAUAAGGACCAGAGGUAAUGCUUCUGGCCAUUAAGUCCAGUUACUUGACAGACUUUUCCUAAAGUCCUUUUGAUGUCUAGAUUUUUAGGUUUCAUUUGCCUUGAGAAUUGGGGAUGGUACAGGUUAUAAAAUUUUAAUGAGUACCCCAAAGAUUUUGUAAGCAAAUGGUUGAUCUCUGCUGUAAAAUGAGUUCCUUGGUCUGAGUCAGUCCAUAAAGCAAUACCAGAGUGAGGCGUAA
Pteropus alecto (black flying fox) is the source of this 2423-nucleotide long non-coding RNA. RefSeq lists it as uncharacterized. The record is from RefSeq and is a predicted model, not a curated record. NCBI's taxonomy places the organism in Eukaryota, Metazoa, Chordata, Mammalia, Chiroptera, Pteropodidae. The transcript has 2 exons.